CAGAACGAACGCUGGCGGCGCGUCUUAAGCAUGCAAGUCGAGCGGCAAGGGGGAGCAAUCCCCCCUAGAGCGGCGGACUGGCGAGUAACACGUAGGCGACGCGUCCUUAGGACGGGGACAGCCGGCAGAAAUGCCGGGUAAUACCGGAUACGCGCGGCGGGGCUAGAGCCUGCCGCGGAAAGAUGCUACGGCAUCGCCUGAGGGGCGGUCUGCGGCCCAUUAGCUAGUCGGUGGGGUAACGGCUUACCGAGGCGAUGAUGGGUACCCGGCCUGAGAGGGCGACCGGGCGCAUUGGGACUGAGAUACGGCCCAGACUCCUACGGGAGGCAGCAGCUAAGAAUAUUCCGCAAUGGGCGAAAGCCUGACGGAGCGACGCCGCGUGGAUGAGGGAGGCCGGAAGGUUGUAAAAUCCUUUUGCGCGGGAAGAAGGAGCGGGGGAGGGAAUGCCUCCGUGGUGACGUACCGCGCGAAUAAGCAACG
RNAcentral lists this ribosomal RNA (480 nucleotides) under uncultured Treponema sp. RNAcentral describes it as "bacterial SSU rRNA". It matches the Rfam family "Bacterial small subunit ribosomal RNA", at positions 25 to 495 of the family's 1533-position model. Lineage: Bacteria; Pseudomonadati; Spirochaetota; Spirochaetia; Treponematales; Treponemataceae. The record is from RNAcentral.